Non-coding RNA from Snodgrassella alvi wkB2, 74 nucleotides. Lineage: Bacteria; Pseudomonadati; Pseudomonadota; Betaproteobacteria; Neisseriales; Neisseriaceae. The record is from Rfam.
CGCGGGGUGGAGCAGCACGGUAGCUCGUCGGGCUCAUAACCCGAAGGUCGUAGGUUCGAAUCCUGCCCCCGCAU